RNAcentral lists this unclassified non-coding RNA (340 nucleotides) under Hevea brasiliensis (rubber tree). The record is from RNAcentral. Lineage: Eukaryota; Viridiplantae; Streptophyta; Magnoliopsida; Malpighiales; Euphorbiaceae.
CUCGUGCCAUGCAGGGAUGGCACUCCCAGCGUCUUCUUAAUAAUGGUCAGGUUUGUGAUCCAAUCAUCAAGGUGUGUGGACAACUUCUAAACUUGAUUAAAAUUUUUGUUUGGGAUUUAUAUUUAUUAAUUUUUGCCUUGGUCUAUCGCGUGUAGCAUUGUCAUCAUUUCAGCAAGACCUUUUUCCUUAAUUUGCUAUUUCUUUUGUUUUCUUUUUCUUUUUUCUUUUUGUGAGUUAGGACAAGAACUUGAAUUCUACACCAAAGAGUGACAAGCAGCUAAAAUCUAAUGGUUUACUGAAGCGUAAAAAGCCAUCGAAUGUUGAGCGUGCUGUCCAUGUU